Molecule: long non-coding RNA, 535 nt
Organism: Centropristis striata (black sea bass)
Lineage: Eukaryota; Metazoa; Chordata; Actinopteri; Perciformes; Serranidae
Exons: 3
Source: RefSeq, a predicted model, not a curated record
AAAUUCGUUUCCAAAUCACCAUUUCACUUUGAGACAUUGGAGGAGAAAGUUUCACUCGAUGAUUUUUUCAAAAGUGAGCAAGAGCCCAGCGAAAAAAGAUGUGUGACGUAUCAUCUCACCUCAGUGACCACAGCUACUGGAGGACGGUGCCCAGCAGGAGACGGGACAGCACCAUCACCAACCAGUUUCUCCGGCUGUAUGUCCUGCAGGCAGCUGACCCACUGACUGUUUGUCCUCCUGCUGGUCUGGAUGAAGAUGUAUCGUUGUGGCGAUCGUGCGUUUGGUCCCACCUCGGUCCGCGCGUUACACUAAGCGAUCAGUAAGUUUGGUGUGUUAGAGGCCAGUGCGAUUAUUGAUAUGAUGAGAAGUGUGGAUCCAAGUGUGGCGUUGAAGCGUUCUGGUAUUCCUGUAAUAAUUAUCUGUAUAGUAAUUACUCUUAUUGACUAGUACUUAGCCUUUCAUGGUACCAUUUUAUAAUAAAGCCAUUUUCAGUGAAACAGGAAGCACAGAUGGAAAGCAGUGAUGUUACAGCAGC